RNAcentral lists this ribosomal RNA (434 nucleotides) under uncultured bacterium. RNAcentral describes it as "bacterial SSU rRNA". It matches the Rfam family "Bacterial small subunit ribosomal RNA", at positions 355 to 804 of the family's 1533-position model. The record is from RNAcentral.
UCGGGAAUUUUGGGCAAUGGGCGAAAGCCUGACCCAGCAACGCCGCGUGAAGGAUGAAGUAUUUCGGUAUGUAAACUUCGUAAGAAUAGGAAGAAUAAAUGACGGUACUAUUUGUAAGGUCCGGCUAACUACGUGCCAGCAGCCGCGGUAAUACGUAGGGACCAAGCGUUGUUCGGAUUUACUGGGCGUAAAGGGCGCGUAGGCGGUUUGUCAAGUCAGUUGUGAAAUCUCCGAGCUUAACUCGGAACGGUCAACUGAUACUGUCAAACUAGAGUACAGAAGGGGCAAUCGGAAUUCUUGGUGUAGCGGUGAAAUGCGUAGAUAUCAAGAGGAACACCUGAGGCGAAGGCGGGUUGCUGGGCUGAUACUGACGCUGAAGCGCGAAAGCUAGGGUAGCAAACGGGAUUAGAUACCCCCGUAGUCCCUGAGCGGGC